UACGUAGGUGGCAAGCGUUGUCCGGAAUUAUUGGGCGUAAAGCGCGCGCAGGCGGCUUCUUAAGUCUGGUGUGAAAUCUCGGGGCUCAACCCCGAGCGGCCAUUGGAAACUGGGAAGCUUGAGUGCAGAAGAGGAGAGUGGAAUUCCACGUGUAGCGGUGAAAUGCGUAGAUAUGUGGAGGAACACCAGUGGCGAAGGCGACUCUCUGGUCUGUAACUGACGCUGAGGCGCGAAAGCGUGGGGAGCAAACAGG
This 253-nucleotide ribosomal RNA is filed under the name uncultured bacterium. RNAcentral describes it as "partial 16S ribosomal RNA". It matches the Rfam family "Bacterial small subunit ribosomal RNA", at positions 524 to 776 of the family's 1533-position model. The record is from RNAcentral.